UGGGGGUUUGUCUUCAGCGCACCAAACACUCAGCAGUCACCUUAAAACACGUGUUAGGACGAAAAACCAUUUCUGCGUUACUGCAGUACAAACUAAACUCGACUUAACUGAUGGGACCAUUAUGGGACAGAGCAAUCCGACUUAGUUUAAAUAAUAAAGUAUGUUGUAACUUAAAGUAAUGGCUGUGUGCGUGUCCUUCAGAUUCCUGUCCCUGCACAGACUGCUGUCAGUUUCCUACAAACAUAGAGACAUACUUGUACAACUCUGUCAGAGAGGGAGGACUGCACGUUUUUCCACUGCUUUUCUGAGGUGUAAGGAGAAUGAAGGAGACAGUUCUGAUGCUUCCCAAGUGAGCAGCAAGCUGAGACGGAGGAGACCCCUGUCCCCGCUGGAGAGGCUCAGCAGGCUGCUGCCGCAGGAGGAUCUGAGCCCAGAGCUGCUGCAGCUGAGGGAUCAGAACCAGCAACCUCAGGAUGCAGACACCCAGAUACCAGCCUCACCCUUCACACCUGCAGCCGCUGAUGCAAAAACCCAGAUACCAGCCUCCCCCUGCACACCUGCAACCCACGAUGCAGACGCCCAGAUACCAGCCUCCCCCUGCACAUCUGCAACCCAUGAUGCAGAAACCCAGAUACCAGCCUCCCCCUGCACACCUGCAACCCACGAUGCAGACGCCCAGAUACCAGCCUCGCCCUGCACACCUGCAGCCGCUGCUGCAGGGCCGGAGCUGGAGGAGUCCCCCCACCCAGAGGAAGGGCAGAUCUCUCCCACCCUCCCCGGGGAGAGCCUUCUCACCUUCGGGGAGUUGCUCAUCGCUGAGUAUCGAAAGAACCGGCGUGUGGAGUUCAGGAAGAUGUUCCUGCUGGAGAGAGGGAAGCGUCUGCAGAGCAGCUGGGGCAUCAUCCUGCACGAUGACAUCCAUGAAAAGCCUGCAGGCUGCUUCCUGAAAACCAGCAGGUGGAUUCCCCUCUUCAUCCGGAGAGCGUCUCUGGAGGAUUAUGUUCUGUACAUGAAGAGGGGGCCGGCCAUCUCCUACCCAAAGGAUGCUGCUGCGAUGCUGCUGAUGAUGGACGUGACGGCGGGAGACUGCGUGCUGGAGUCGGGGUCGGGGUCAGGGGCCAUGUCUCUGUUCCUGUCCAGAGCAGUGGGCUCCAAGGGCAGCGUCCUGAGCGUGGAGGUCAGGGAGGAUCACCACCGCAGAGCUGUGCUGAACUACGAGCGCUGGAGGAAGUCGUGGAGUCUGCGCCGAGGCCAAGACUGGCCCGACAACGUUCAGUUCCACAUAUCCGACCUCCGGGCUGCAUCGUCGCUCCUCAGCGGCCGGGGAUUCAAUGCAGCAGCUCUGGACAUGAUAAACCCCCACCUGGCUUUACCCGCCGUGCUGCCGCACCUGCACCCUGGAGCCGUGUGCGUCGUCUACCUCGCCAAUGUGACCCAGGUCAUCGACCUGCUGGAGGGUCUGCGCUGCUCCUCGCUCCCAUUCCUGUGCGAGCGCGUCGUGGAGGUUCCGGUCCGGGACUGGAUGGUGGUGCCGGCCCUGCAGAAAGAUGGCCGGUACUGGACCAGAAAGGCUGGAACCCUGGAUGAGGACCUAACGGAGGACGAUGAGGCCGAUAAAGAUUUGAAAUGUUUUAAUUCCAGAGGAGUUCAGCGGAGAUAAAGGCCGUGCUCCAGCCUUCGGGAGCGUCCCCUACAUUGCCAGACCUCAUCCUGAACAGAUGAGCCACACAGCAUUCCUGGUGAAGCUGAGGAAGUGUGUGCAUCACCUACCGCCUCUGUGAGGAAUCUUGAACAGAGUUUUAUUUACAAGUCAAAUACUGUUGGGUACAAUUUAAAAUAAAUAAAUAAAUGACUGAGAUCAAAACA
Cololabis saira (Pacific saury) is the source of this 1866-nucleotide RNA transcript. It is a transcript of the gene named tRNA methyltransferase 61B, with no coding region annotated. NCBI's taxonomy places the organism in Eukaryota, Metazoa, Chordata, Actinopteri, Beloniformes, Belonidae. The transcript is spliced from 8 exons. The record is from RefSeq and is a predicted model, not a curated record.